AGCUCAGGACGAACGCUGGCGGCGUGCUUAACACAUGCAAGUCGAACGAUGAACCACUUCGGUGGGGAUUAGUGGCGAACGGGUGAGUAACACGUGGGCAAUCUGCCCUGCACUCUGGGACAAGCCCUGGAAACGGGGUCUAAUACCGGAUACUGAUCCUCGCAGGCAUCUGCGAGGUUCGAAAGCUCCGGCGGUGCAGGAUGAGCCCGCGGCCUAUCAGCUAGUUGGUGAGGUAACGGCUCACCAAGGCGACGACGGGUAGCCGGCCUGAGAGGGCGACCGGCCACACUGGGACUGAGACACGGCCCAGACUCCUACGGGAGGCAGCAGUGGGGAAUAUUGCACAAUGGGCGAAAGCCUGAUGCAGCGACGCCGCGUGAGGGAUGACGGCCUUCGGGUUGUAAACCUCUUUCAGCAGGGAAGAAGCGAAAGUGACGGUACCUGCAGAAGAAGCGCCGGCUAACUACGUGCCAGCAGCCGCGGUAAUACGUAGGGCGCAAGCGUUGUCCGGAAUUAUUGGGCGUAAAGAGCUCGUAGGCGGCUUGUCACGUCGGUUGUGAAAGCCCGGGGCUUAACCCCGGGUCUGCAGUCGAUACGGGCAGGCUAGAGUUCGGUAGGGGAGAUCGGAAUUCCUGGUGUAGCGGUGAAAUGCGCAGAUAUCAGGAGGAACACCGGUGGCGAAGGCGGAUCUCUGGGCCGAUACUGACGCUGAGGAGCGAAAGCGUGGGGAGCGAACAGGAUUAGAUACCCUGGUAGUCCACGCCGUAAACGGUGGGCACUAGGUGUGGGCAACAUUCCACGUUGUCCGUGCCGCAGCUAACGCAUUAAGUGCCCCGCCUGGGGAGUACGGCCGCAAGGCUAAACU
This 865-nucleotide ribosomal RNA is filed under the name Streptomyces sp. RK66. Its description in RNAcentral is "bacterial SSU rRNA". It matches the Rfam family "Bacterial small subunit ribosomal RNA", at positions 21 to 901 of the family's 1533-position model. Lineage: Bacteria; Bacillati; Actinomycetota; Actinomycetes; Kitasatosporales; Streptomycetaceae. The record is from RNAcentral.